Molecule: ribosomal RNA, 506 nt
Filed under: uncultured bacterium
Lineage: Bacteria
Description: partial 16S ribosomal RNA
Rfam family: Bacterial small subunit ribosomal RNA
Source: RNAcentral
AGUGAACGCUGGCGGUAGGCCUAACACAUGCAAGUCGAACGGCAGCACAGGAGAGCUUGCUCUCUGGGUGGCGAGUGGCGGACGGGUGAGGAAUACAUCGGAAUCUACUCUGUCGUGGGGGAUAACGUAGGGAAACUUACGCUAAUACCGCAUACGACCUACGGGUGAAAGCAGGGGAUCUUCGGACCUUGCGCGAUUGAAUGAGCCGAUGUCGGAUUAGCUAGUUGGCGGGGUAAAGGCCCACCAAGGCGACGAUCCGUAGCUGGUCUGAGAGGAUGAUCAGCCACACUGGAAGUGAGACACGGUCAAGACUCAUGCGGGAGGCAGCAGUGGGGAAUAUGGGACAAUGGGCGCAAGCCUGAUCCAGCCAUACCGCGUGGGUGAAGAAGGCCUUCGGGUUGUAAAGCCCUUUUGUUGGGAAAGAAAUCCAGCUGGCUAAUACCCGGUUGGGAUGACGGUACCCAAAGAAUAAGCACCGGCUAACUUCGUGCCAGCAGCCGCCGUAA